CUCCUGCGGGAGGCAGCAGUGGGGAAUAUUGGACAAUGGGCGCAAGCCUGAUCCAGCCAUGCCGCGUGAGUGAUGAAGGCCCUAGGGUUGUAAAGCUCUUUCACCGGUGAAGAUAAUGACGGUAACCGGAGAAGAAGCCCCGGCUAACUUCGUGCCAGCAGCCGCGGUAAUACGAAGGGGGCUAGCGUUGUUCGGAUUUACUGGGCGUAAAGCGCACGUAGGCGGACUAUUAAGUCAGGGGUGAAAUCCCGGGGCUCAACCCCGGAACUGCCUUUGAUACUGGUAGUCUUGAGUUCGAGAGAGGUGAGUGGAAUUCCGAGUGUAGAGGUGAAAUUCGUAGAUAUUCGGAGGAACACCAGUGGCGAAGGCGGCUCACUGGCUCGAUACUGACGCUGAGGUGCGAAAGCGUGGGGAGCAAACAGGAUUAGAUACCCUAGUAGUCCCA
This 445-nucleotide ribosomal RNA is filed under the name uncultured organism. RNAcentral's name for it is "partial 16S ribosomal RNA". It matches the Rfam family "Bacterial small subunit ribosomal RNA", at positions 336 to 797 of the family's 1533-position model. The record is from RNAcentral.